AGAGUUUGAUCCUGGCUCAGGAUAAACGCUGGCGGCGUGCCUAACACAUGCAAGUCGAACGCCCUUGAAGCAAUCAAGGGAGUGGCGGACGGGUGAGUAACACGUGAGUACCUACCCUUCAGUGAGGAAUACCGGCGAGAAAUCGCCGACAAUACUGCAUACGCUCGGGCAACCGAGCAAAGCCCGCAAGGGCGCUGGGGGGAGAUGGGCUUGCGCCCGAUUAGCUAGUUGGUGGGGUAUAAAGCUUACCACAGGGCUGCCAAUCGGGUAACCUGGGUUCUGAAGAAGGAUUGAUUCAAGCCCCCCACCUGGGGGAAUUUGAAGAAACGGGGCCCCAGAACCUCCCUACCGGGGGGGGGCAGCCAGUUGAAGGGAAUUUUUUCGUUCAAUUGGGGGGGCAACCCNGGAACGAGCAACGCCGCGUUGCAGGAAGAAGGUU
RNAcentral lists this ribosomal RNA (439 nucleotides) under uncultured bacterium. RNAcentral's name for it is "partial 16S ribosomal RNA". It matches the Rfam family "Bacterial small subunit ribosomal RNA", at positions 8 to 416 of the family's 1533-position model. The record is from RNAcentral.